Long non-coding RNA from Myotis davidii, 1077 nucleotides. RefSeq lists it as uncharacterized. Lineage: Eukaryota; Metazoa; Chordata; Mammalia; Chiroptera; Vespertilionidae. The record is from RefSeq and is a predicted model, not a curated record. The transcript has 2 exons.
AGCUUGUCCCUCCCGCUGCUGCUUGUUACAGAGACGGCCUCUCCCUCGGGCCCCGCAGACACCCCGAGGACAGAGGCUUAUCCGACAAGCGCCCUGCCUGCCUUCCCAGAAAAAUGACACUCUGUGAAAAUUCCAGCAGGCCACCUCAUUUCUGCCGGGAGGUCACCUGGGCCAUGGUGACUUCACAAGGACCCACAGUGCCCUCGCCUCUCAUUUCUUCCCAGGCAUCAAAGUUGCCCUGCAAGGGGCAUACGAGAAGGCCCAGAGGUGCCCCUGCCGGCCUGUCGCAGUCCCCAGGUGCCUCAGGUGCCAGAGGAGGCAGAACCUGAGAGCAGGUGGUCAGGGUGGUGGGGACUGUAGGAGAAGGGUGCUGGGCUAUGGGCUGCUCAGUGCACCUGAGUGACCUGGAGGGACCGCCGAUAGCCGUGGAGGGGAGUGGGAGGGAAGACUCAGCGUGCUCCACCGCCCUCAUACUUCUUGGACCUCCGCGUGGCCGGCCUUGGAGCUGCUCGCGGAUCCGCCCUCAGGUCACGCCGCCGAAUGUCUGAGCGUGAGCCCAGCGCGCCUCAGCAUUUGCCAAGGUUAAUGAAAGGAAGUGAUAACUCAGCAUUUAUUUCCUCCUCCUGGAUUUCGUAGCUGUAGACCUCACCCUACGUCAAAUUCCUCUUUCAAAGCUUUGGCUCCCCCGAAGACAGCCGGCCUCCAGGAGAAGAUCAGCCCGCCCACCGUGGGGUCUGCAGGGGAAACAGAUGAGCCUGGCUCUGCGGACAGCCAGGGACCACGUGGUCCAUCCUGGAAAGCAUCCUCCUGCUUGGACGGUGAUAACAUGCUACUUCCGCAGAAAGAAGGAGAGGGAAAGUGAGGAGCACAGUUGGAUGCUGGCGGCAGUGCGGGCUCCCGGGCGCCCUCUGUGCUCGCUGCUGCUCCACCCUCCACACUGCGAAACAGUCGUCCACGGAGGCAGAGCGCUCGCACGUGUGAGGAUGUGCGGUGGAUGUGGCUCCCCACAAGGGAUUUUGCAACUUAUUGAAGUCAUUGUUUCCAGAAUAAACCAUGUGUCAUUCUCUCCCUUAGUAA